RNAcentral lists this ribosomal RNA (253 nucleotides) under uncultured bacterium. Its description in RNAcentral is "partial 16S ribosomal RNA". It matches the Rfam family "Bacterial small subunit ribosomal RNA", at positions 524 to 776 of the family's 1533-position model. The record is from RNAcentral.
UACAGAGGUCUCAAGCGUUGUCCGGAAUUAUUGGGCGUAAAGAGCUCGUAGGCGGUCUGUUGCGUCCGCUGUGAAAACUCGGGGCUUAACCCCGAGCCUGCAGUGGAUACGGGCAGACUAGAGGUAGGUAGGGGAGAAUGGAAUUCCCGGUGUAGCGGUGAAAUGCGCAGAUAUCGGGAGGAACACCGGUGGCGAAGGCGGGUCUCUGGACAGUUCCUGACACUGAGGCACGAAGGCCAGGGGAGCAAACGGG